UACGAAGGGGGCUAGCGUUGUUCGGAAUUACUGGGCGUAAAGCGCACGUAGGCGGGUUUGUAAGUAGAGGGUGAAAUCCCAGAGCUCAACUCUGGAACUGCCUUCUAGACUGCAAGCCUGGAGGUCAGGAGAGGCGAGUGGAAUACCGAGUGUAGAGGUGAAAUUCGUAGAUAUUCGGUGGAACACCAGUGGCGAAGGCGACUCGCUGGACUGAUACUGACGCUGAGGUGCGAAAGCGUGGGGAGCAAACAGG
This 253-nucleotide ribosomal RNA is filed under the name uncultured bacterium. RNAcentral describes it as "partial 16S ribosomal RNA". It matches the Rfam family "Bacterial small subunit ribosomal RNA", at positions 524 to 776 of the family's 1533-position model. The record is from RNAcentral.